GAUGAACGCUGGCGGCGUGCCUAAUACAUGCAAGUCGAGCGAACAGAUGAGAAGCUUGCUUCUCUGAUGUUAGCGGCGGACGGGUGAGUAACACGUGGGUAACCUACCUAUAAGACUGGGAUAACUCCGGGAAACCGGGGCUAAUAACGGAUAAUAUUUUGAACCGCAUGGUUCAAUAGUGAAUGACGGUUUCGGCUGUUACUUAUAGAUGGACCCGCGCCGUAUUAGCUAGUUGGUAAGGUAACGGCUUACCAAGGCGACGAUACGUGGCCGACCUGAGAGGGUGAUCGGCCACACUGGAACUGAGACACGGUCCAGACUCCUACGGGAGGCAGCAGUAGGGAAUCUUCCUCAAUGGGCGAAAGCCUGACGGAGCAACGCCGCGUGAGUGAUGAAGGUCUUCGGAUCGUAAAACUCUGUUGUUAGGGAAGAACAAAUUUGUUAGUAACUGAACAAGUCUUGACGGUACCUAACCAGAAAGCCACGGCUAACUACGUGCCAGCAGCCGCAGUAA
RNAcentral lists this ribosomal RNA (514 nucleotides) under uncultured bacterium. RNAcentral describes it as "partial 16S ribosomal RNA". It matches the Rfam family "Bacterial small subunit ribosomal RNA", at positions 28 to 523 of the family's 1533-position model. The record is from RNAcentral.